This 466-nucleotide ribosomal RNA is filed under the name uncultured bacterium. Its description in RNAcentral is "bacterial SSU rRNA". It matches the Rfam family "Bacterial small subunit ribosomal RNA", at positions 328 to 792 of the family's 1533-position model. The record is from RNAcentral.
UUGCCAGACUCCUACGGGAGGCAGCAGUGAGGAAUAUUGGUCAAUGGGCGAGAGCCUGAACCAGCCAAGUCGCGUGAGGGAAGACGGUCCUAUGGAUUGUAAACCUCUUUUGCCGGGGAGCAAAAAGCGGUACGUGUACCGCAUCGAGAGUACCCGGAGAAAAAGCAUCGGCUAACUCCGUGCCAGCAGCCGCGGUAAUACGGAGGAUGCGAGCGUUAUCCGGAUUUAUUGGGUUUAAAGGGUGCGCAGGCGGAAUGUCAAGUCAGCGGUAAAAUUUCGGGGCUCAACCCCGUCGUGCCGUUGAAACUGGCGUUCUUGAAUGAGCGAGAAGUAUGCGGAAUGCGUGGUGUAGCGGUGAAAUGCAUAGAUAUCACGCAGAACUCCGAUUGCGAAGGCAGCAUACCGGCGCUCAACUGACGCUCAUGCACGAAAGCGUGGGUAUCGAACAGGAUUAGAUACCCGAGUA